GAUUUCUGGUUCGGCGCAUUUGGCCCGCCUCGGUUUACGGGGUUGUGUGCCGGUAUGCGCCAUCCAUCCUUCAUAUGAACGAUUCUACCCUUCACUGGGUCGGAGUCGCUGAUUAUGAUCUUUUACUUUGAAAAAAUUAGAGUGUUUAAAGCAGGCUUGCGCUAUGAAUACAUUAGCAUGGAAUAAUAAUUUAGGACUUUGGUCUUAUUUUGUUGGUUUCUAGGACUAAAGUAAUGAUUGAUAGGGACAGUUGGGGGUGCUAGUAUUCAGCGGCCAGAGGUGAAAUUCUUGGAUUCGCUGAAGACUAACUUAUGCGAAAGCAUU
Molecule: ribosomal RNA, 324 nt
Filed under: uncultured cercomonad
Lineage: Eukaryota; Cercozoa; Cercomonadida; Cercomonadidae
Description: SSU rRNA
Rfam family: Eukaryotic small subunit ribosomal RNA (bases 117-324)
Source: RNAcentral